GGGCCCAUAGCUCAGUUGGUUAGAGCGUCCGGCUCAUAACCGGCAGGUCCCAGGUUCGAAUCCUGGUAGGCCCACCA
This 77-nucleotide transfer RNA is filed under the name Desulfovibrio sp. RNAcentral describes it as "tRNA-Ile". It matches the Rfam family "tRNA". From Rfam's summary of the family: Transfer RNA (tRNA) molecules are approximately 80 nucleotides in length. Their secondary structure includes four short double-helical elements and three loops (D, anti-codon, and T loops). Lineage: Bacteria; Pseudomonadati; Thermodesulfobacteriota; Desulfovibrionia; Desulfovibrionales; Desulfovibrionaceae. The record is from RNAcentral.